Molecule: RNase P RNA, 174 nt
Filed under: Candidatus Acetothermia bacterium
Lineage: Bacteria; Candidatus Bipolaricaulota
Description: partial RNase P RNA component class A
Rfam family: Bacterial RNase P class A
About the family: Ribonuclease P (RNase P) is a ubiquitous endoribonuclease, found in archaea, bacteria and eukarya as well as chloroplasts and mitochondria.
Source: RNAcentral
CGGUGGGGUAAGAGCCCACCGCCGGGGCCGCGAGGUUCCCGGGCACGGCAAACCCCGGCCGGAGCAAGGCCAAAUAGGGAGGCGCUUGAGGGUGGCCCGCCCGAUGCCUCCGGGUAGGCCGCGAAGAUGAAUGGCCCCCCGCGGACAGAAUCCGGCCUAUGUCCCUCUCCCCGG